ACACACACUACACUCUUAACAUACACACUCUGGAUCCCCUAUACACACACUAGAUUCCUUGUAAGCAAACACAUACUACACCUCUAAACACACACAUCAUCACCUAUAUACACACACACACACUAUAGCCUGUAUGCACACACUUGCUAUAUCCCCAAUACACACAUUCUCUACAGCCCAUAGCCACAUAUGCAUCACAUUACACCACUUUACACCACAAACACAACAUGACUAAAACCAACCUUAUUACACAAUACCACACCACAAUCAGCUCACUCUACACACACGCAAUACCACAAGCAGGCUCCAAACACAUGCACAAUACUCUUUCCUGGCAUUUUUG
RNAcentral lists this long non-coding RNA (343 nucleotides) under Pelobates cultripes (western spadefoot toad). The record is from RNAcentral. Lineage: Eukaryota; Metazoa; Chordata; Amphibia; Anura; Pelobatidae.